CAGUGUUUUACAAAUGUUUAAUAAUCCAAAGAGAUAGGGACUAUUAUUAUUCUCAUUUUACAGAUGAGGAAACUGAGACCUGAGAAAGAUUAAGCACCUUGAACAGGGUCACACAAUAAAUAAGUAUCUUAUGCUGAAUUUGAACUCAAGUCUUCCUGACUCCGGAACUAUGCUUCCUCACUCCGAAAGCUUUGUUGUAACCAGCUAAAGGGAAACUGUAGAUAGAAAACAUUUGAAACUUUUGUUGCAUGGACUCUUUGUGGAGAGCUGUUUGGAGAAAAUGUGUGCAAGAUAAACACUGAUUUUGAACAUUUGAGAUGAACUGCAUGAGAACAGGAUGGGUGAAUUACAGUGGAGUAGGAUGCAGAUGAGUGAUUACCUGGGCAGAAAUCCAAACCAUUGAAGAUAGACACGGAAGGGAGCCAGGUGUGAUAAAUAAGUGAGAAAUUGGUCAGCUUCCAGGGACGACCAUUUCCCACAUCAUUUUUUAAAGCAACAACAAACUCAUGAGGAUCUGCAUCAGAAGCCAUUGGCACAAAAUGACUGGCACUGUGGAGAAUGGCAUGAGGUAAAAAGUGUUUACUGGGACUGCCAGAAGAAAUAUUGCAUAAACAUAUGGAAGGUGUUGGAGGAGAAAGAUAGUUGGGCCAGACUCUUGUGAGUGACAACAGAUCAUCACAUUUUGGAGAAGGAAAUGGCAAAGUAUUCUAGGAUCUGGCAAGAAAACCCCAAAUGGGGUCACCA
Molecule: long non-coding RNA, 744 nt
Filed under: Monodelphis domestica (gray short-tailed opossum)
Lineage: Eukaryota; Metazoa; Chordata; Mammalia; Didelphimorphia; Didelphidae
Description: lncRNA (ENSMODG00000043950.1)
Source: RNAcentral